Molecule: long non-coding RNA, 330 nt
Filed under: Capsella rubella
Lineage: Eukaryota; Viridiplantae; Streptophyta; Magnoliopsida; Brassicales; Brassicaceae
Description: long non-coding RNA (CRUB_LNC003410)
Source: RNAcentral
CAACCGUUAUGAGACCUCCGCCUAAUCCAAUGACUGGCUCUGGCAUGGCCAUGGGUGGAGGAAUGGGUGUUGGUAGCUAUGGAGGUAUGAACCAAAACCAACCCAUGGGUAUGGGUAUGGGGGUCGGAAUGAAUCAAAACCAACCUAUGGGUAUGGGAAUGGGACCUGGCAUGAAUCAAAACCAACCUAUGGGUAUGGGAAUGGGACCUGGCAUGAACAUGAACAUGAACAUGGGAGGAUAUGGCCAAGGCUAUCCGAUGCAACAACAAAACCCAGGGAUGGCCCCUGGCCCAAACAUGCCUGGAAACAACUACAAUCCGAUGAUGGGUC